AUUGAACGCUGGCGGCAUGCCUUACACAUGCAAGUCGAACGGCAGCACGGGAGCAAUCCUGGUGGCGAGUGGCGAACGGGUGAGUAAUGUAUCGGAACGUACCUUUCAGUGGGGGAUAACGUAGCGAAAGUUACGCUAAUACCGCAUAUUCUGUGAGCAGGAAAGCAGGGGAUCGCAAGACCUUGCGCUGAUUGAGCGGCCGAUAUCAGAUUAGCUAGUUGGUGAGGUAAAGGCUCACCAAGGCGACGAUCUGUAGCGGGUCUGAGAGGAUGAUCCGCCACACUGGAACUGAGACACGGUCCAGACUCCUACGGGAGGCAGCAGUGGGGAAUUUUGGACAAUGGGCGCAAGCCUGAUCCAGCCAUGCCGCGUGCGGGAAGAAGGCCUC
RNAcentral lists this ribosomal RNA (388 nucleotides) under uncultured bacterium. Its description in RNAcentral is "bacterial SSU rRNA". It matches the Rfam family "Bacterial small subunit ribosomal RNA", at positions 30 to 418 of the family's 1533-position model. The record is from RNAcentral.